UCGCCCCGCCCCUUCCCUGAAUAGCCAAUGGCCACCCCAGUAGGCUUGAGCCCGCCCUCCCGCCUACGCAAGCACGAGGGGGCUGGGACCGGCAGGCCGGAAGUCUGGGCGGGGACGGUGGCCCCGAGGGAACCUCCGCGGCCGAGUUUCCGGCCCGUCACUCUGGCAGGCAGCCUUUUUUUGACUCCGCCUGUGGUAGCCAUUGUUUUCCCUGAGGAGUAAACCGGAGUGACGAGCAUUAGCAGGGCAGAUGCCACCCCGACUUUACCGGACUUCUUGCGGCGGAAUAAUUAUUCCGAUUUAUGGAGAAAGUGGCAAAGCUCAUACCGAGUCGUGCGUCCUCCGCCCACGUCCCCCCUGCGGUCCCCGCACCGAGAGCCGGACUCCGUGCGUGGCCGCGCCUUUCCCGCUCCCUGUGUGCGGGUCUAACCCAGAGCACCUGUCAGACCCGAGGUGAGUGUCUCGGCUUUGUGAGACCCUUUUGCUUGAAGAGGCCACUGAGGUCCCUGCGGGAGGUGAGUAGCAGGACAGGAAGGUCCUGGCCAGCCAGGCCCUUGAUCCUGGGCCCCCCUUGCCUUUGGGCCCUCUGCUGUGGUUGUCCGACACCAGCUUCCCCAGAAGCCCUAGAAGUGCUUUCUUCAGAGAGCCUUCCUGUGCAGCUCAAAGUGUCGCCGCCAGCAGCUGCUGAUGCACGUCCUUAAGUGCUUGUGCUGCUUUUUCUGGAAGUUGAUUCCCCAAAGCAGGAUUGCUGGGUGGUGGUGGGGGUCUACACAGUUUUGAUUUUCUCAUGUAUCAGUGGGUACGUUUUUUCAAAGGAUGUGGUUCUAACCUCUGCACUGUGUGCUGGAGUGCUCUUCCUGCAGCUCCUGGGCAGCCCAGGACAGGACCCGUUUCUAAUUUCAUAGCUAGUAGUGGAGCUGCUGGUUGCUUCACAUGUCUCUGUUUCAUGAAUGUUCGUCUCAGUUACUAAUUUUGUUUUAACUUUUUUAUUCUUUUUGGUACCAGGGAUUGAACUCAAGGCACUCAACCGCUGACCCAUAUCCCCAGCUCUAUUUUGUAUUUUAUUUAGAGACAGGGUCUCACUGAGCUGCUUAGCACUUCACUUUUGCUGAGGUUGGCUUUGAACUUUUGAUCCUCCUGCCUCAGCUUCCUGAGCCACUGGGAUUAUAGGCUCCACCGAGCCCUGCUUCAGUUGCUAAUUUUUAAAUUGAGCCUUUUGUUGUCUAUAGAAGUUUUUGCAGAUUAUAUUCAUGUGUUGAGAAUAAUGUAUUUCUUUGCUGUAUGUAUCACACAGAGUUUCGCAGAUUAAAAACUUGUUUUUUGACUGCA
Ictidomys tridecemlineatus (thirteen-lined ground squirrel) is the source of this 1329-nucleotide non-coding RNA. Lineage: Eukaryota; Metazoa; Chordata; Mammalia; Rodentia; Sciuridae. The record is from RefSeq and is a predicted model, not a curated record.